AUGAAACACUCCUACGGGAGGCAGCAGUGGGGAAUAUUGGACAAUGGGCGAAAGCCUGAUCCAGCAAUGCCGCGUGAGUGAUGAAGGCCUUAGGGUUGUAAAGCUCUUUUACCCGGGAUGAUAAUGACAGUACCGGGAGAAUAAGCUCCGGCUAACUCCGUGCCAGCAGCCGCGGUAAUACGGAGGGAGCUAGCGUUGUUCGGAAUUACUGGGCGUAAAGCGCACGUAGGCGGCUUUGUAAGUUAGAGGUGAAAGCCCGGAGCUCAACUCCGGAACUGCCUUUAAGACUGCAUCGCUUGAAUCCAGGAGAGGUGAGUGGAAUUCCGAGUGUAGAGGUGAAAUUCGUAGAUAUUCGGAAGAACACCAGUGGCGAAGGCGGCUCACUGGACUGGUAUUGACGCUGAGGUGCGAAAGCGUGGGGAGCAAACAGGAUUAGAUACCCUAGUAGUCCGAAGUUC
This 458-nucleotide ribosomal RNA is filed under the name uncultured bacterium. RNAcentral describes it as "bacterial SSU rRNA". It matches the Rfam family "Bacterial small subunit ribosomal RNA", at positions 328 to 802 of the family's 1533-position model. The record is from RNAcentral.